Molecule: transfer RNA, 62 nt
Filed under: Crypsis chinensis
Lineage: Eukaryota; Metazoa; Arthropoda; Insecta; Coleoptera; Tenebrionidae
Description: tRNA-Pro
Source: RNAcentral
CAAGAAGUAGUUUAUUUAAAAUAUUAAUUUUGGAGAUUAAUGAAGGAUUAUUCUUUUCUUGA